This 74-nucleotide transfer RNA is filed under the name Candidatus Woesearchaeota archaeon. RNAcentral describes it as "tRNA-Lys". It matches the Rfam family "tRNA". From Rfam's summary of the family: Transfer RNA (tRNA) molecules are approximately 80 nucleotides in length. Their secondary structure includes four short double-helical elements and three loops (D, anti-codon, and T loops). Further hydrogen bonds mediate the characteristic L-shaped molecular structure. tRNAs have two regions of fundamental functional importance: the anti-codon, which is responsible for specific mRNA codon recognition, and the 3' end, to which the tRNAs corresponding amino acid is attached (by aminoacyl-tRNA synthetases). tRNAs cope with the degeneracy of the genetic code in two manners: having more than one tRNA (with a specific anti-codon) for a particular amino acid; and 'wobble' base-pairing, i.e. permitting non-standard base-pairing at the 3rd anti-codon position. The record is from RNAcentral. Lineage: Archaea; Nanobdellati; Candidatus Woesearchaeota.
GGGUCCUUAGCUCAGGUUGGUAGAGCACCGCGCUCUUAACGCGGGGGUCGUGGGUUCAAAUCCCACAGGAUCCG